RNAcentral lists this long non-coding RNA (5804 nucleotides) under Amborella trichopoda. RNAcentral's name for it is "long non-coding RNA (ATRI_LNC003703)". Lineage: Eukaryota; Viridiplantae; Streptophyta; Magnoliopsida; Amborellales; Amborellaceae. The record is from RNAcentral.
UUUUAAAAUGGUGCAGGAGUUUAUUUCAUAUUUCUGAUCUCUCUUCUCUUUCGGUACUUCUUUUAGAAAUAUCAGUAUAGAAUUUAAGGAACUCUAUUAUUUGGUUAGUUAACUCCUUCAUUUAUUUUUGUCCCUUCAUACAUUUAAAUCCUAGUUGUGAUAUAGUUCUUCCUCAUAUUUCAUAAUUUUAGUCCCUUUAUUUUGAUGCUGUAUUAAAGUGCUGAUACAGUUUAGCACACAUCAUGGGUCAUGCACAUGAUACAUAACUUCACCUUAGGGUGAAUUGUAAUUCAAACAACUUGGAACUCCAUGUAUUGACAAUUGAAAAGUAAGGGCUUGAAUCUUUCAUAGGGAAAAUAAAGGCCUCUUCUCUUUCGGUACUUCUUUUAGAAAUAUCAGUAUAGAAUUUAAGGAGCUCUAUUAUUUGGUUAGUUAACUCCUCCAUUUAUUUUUGUCCCUUCAUACAUUUAAUCCUUCUUGUGAUAUAGUUCUUCCUCAUAUUUCAUAAUUUUAGUCCAUUUAUUUUGAUGCUGUAUUAAAGUGCUGACAGAGUUUAGCACACAUCAUGGGUCAUGCACAUGAUACAUAACUUCACCUUAGGGUGAAUUGNNNNNNNNNNNNNNNNNNNNAUCAGUAUAGAAUUUAGAGCUCUAUUAUUUGGUUAGUUAACUCCUCCAUUUAUUUUUGUCCCUUCAUACAUUUAAUCCUUCUUGUGAUAUAGUUCUUCCUCAUAUUUCAUAAUUUUAGUCCAUUUAUUUUGAUGCUGUAUUAAAGUGCUGACAGAGUUUAGCACACAUCAUGGGUCAUGCACAUGAUACAUAACUUCACCUUAGGGUGAAUUGUAAUUUGAACAACUUGGAACUCCAUGUAUUGACAAUUGAAAAUUAGGGGCUUGAAUCUUUUAUAGGGAAAAUAAAGGCCUAUAUGGUAAUCGAGAUAGGUUCUUAAUGAAAUUUAUAUUCACAAAGUUGAGCAAAUGUGAUAAAAUGCAUUGACAAUCCUGGAAACUGCAGUCAUUACAUAAUCCUCACAUGUGUCAUGUCUGACACUACCCACUAGAUAUAUAAUAUAAUGAAAAUAUUUUAUUACUCCUAUCGGAUCAUAGUAUCCGUUUGCUCCCUCUAGGAAAACUCUGUGGGUCUUUUUUUAAAUUUGUUUUUUGGUAUCGUACUUAUUUAUUAAGGGUGUAUGUAUAAGUAUCACUAAAAGAUGAUGGAUACUUUUGUAUCUUUAUAAAAUAAAAUUGAAAUUUUUACUAAACGACGAGGGUAUUGCACAAACAAUGUUCUAGGACACUAACGGACUAUCAUUUUUUCUUUUGUGAAAAUUUCAAAUUUACCAUAAUGAUUAAGUUAUGUAAUAAAAUAAUUUUUAGACAAAAAGCAAUCACUUUUUGUUAUCUAUGUUUUGGACCUAAGUGUCCUAAUUAUAACAAUUUUGUCCUUAUAACAUUUUUUAAAUAAAAUAUAAGUUGAGAGGUGUCUAACGGUAGGUGAACCUUAUAGCUACUCUCUCCUCUCUUCUCUUUCUUCUUUUCGCUCUUCUCUCUUUCUUUUCCUCUUCUUUUCCCUUUCUUUCUCUAGUUUCGACACUUUUUACUGUUCAUGGUACUGUUCAUGACACUAUUCACGUAUAUUAUUGACACUAUAUUCUUUGACAUGAUAUUAGAACAAGUUCUAAACUGAUUCUUUGGUCUUCCCCUUUCUUUCCCUCUUUUUAGUCAUAAAAAUCUAGUUGUGGUGUUCAGUGCUGCUAUGUGUGUGAUUUCUCUCUCGAAAUCAAGAUCUAUAGAGUGAUCAUGAUUAAAAAAAAAAUUAAGAGCCUAAUUUGCAUGUUCGAUGCUACUGUGUGUGUGAUUUCUCUCCUGAGAUCAAGAUCUACAGAGAGAUUGUGGUCUAGUUUCAAGUUGCUGCUAGCCCAUGUGAACCUUUUGAAUUGGCUUCAUCCUAUUGGAUGAUGAGAAGAUAUUUUGAAAUUUACAUGAGGGGCACACCCCUCUCUCGUUAUUCUUUAUUUAAUUUCCAAUGUUCACAAGGACACUUUUGGAAUGUUUAAUUAGCAUAUGCGAAAUUUAUUUCAAACUUGGGACAAUUUGGUAAAAUGACCUAAUUUAGGGUUUUUAAGGAGUGAUAAGGGUGUCAAGUCUCAUCCUUUGAUCUUGAUGGAUAGAUACUGAGUGGCUAGGAUUAUAGCCCUUUCAUGUAUCAUGGAUGAUGAGCAUUAAGGGUCUUUAUCAAUUCACUUAAAAUGUCACACCUGAAUUGGCCUAUUGCCUCCAUGGUCUCAUUUCUAAACCCACCGCAUAACAUAUGUUGUGAGAGAUACAGAGACUAGAGAGAGGCUUCAUGCCCACAUUUUUCUUACUGCCUUUUUCCCUCUUAUGAUAAACAAUCACAUGGCCAUUAAAGCUCUUCCCCAUGGUAGCUAAGCUACUUGGUGCUUUACACUUGAGGUAACUUCCAUAGCUCUAAUUCUUUCAUUUCUAGAUUCUUUUGUUCAUGUUUUCCUUGCUGUAAAUCUCACUUUACAGUAGCCUUUUCAUUUAUAUGUGCUUGAGAACUCAUGAUUUCUAAGCCCCUUGUGAAACUAUGCAUAUAUGCCAUGCUAUAUGCAUAAUCUAGUUUACUACUUUGCUCCUAGAUAUAAUUUUCUUCAUCUUUUUCAUUCCUGAUUUUUCUAAGAAUUCUCAAAGAGUUUUUGGCCAUAUCAGCAAGCAUUUGAUGUUCAUUUGAGUACACCAUAUCAUUGGCCCUUGAUACUAGAGAGUCUCUUAUGAAACUACUCUUGUUUUCUCAAGUUUAUUUGCUCACUUUUUUCAUCACCUAAGGUUCAUCUUUCUCAUUUUAAAGUUAUUCAAGUGCUUUUCAAGUGUGCAUAAGCUUCCCACUUCAUAAGUGAGAUCAACAUUUGUAUUUUAUUGCCAUUAGUGCUAUCAUCCAUGGGACAAAAUUAAGUCCCUAUAAGGUCCAAUUAUGUGCGUCGGGCGCAUAGGAUUCGACCAUUGGCUUCCCCACAUUACUUUGCACGUAUUUAUGUUUCUUUGAGUUUAUUAUUGUUUCAUGUCAUCAAAAGUUGAUUAUAUAAAGUUUAGAGUUGGUUUAUGCAGAAGAAAAAAGUGUAUGUGCAGUCUAAGUGCAAGUGUAUGUGCUAAGUGGUGUAGUUUGCUUCUAUAUGACUAAUGUAUUCGUUUUUAUGACUUGGGGAGUCCAUGGAGUUGUAACUCUUUCAUUUAAGAGAUAUUUGGGUCUUUAUAAGUUCAAAAUUGUUGCUAUAAUAGUAAGAUAUGUGAAAGUGUUGAUUGUAAAAAUGUUAAAGUUGAGUGCCUAGUACAAGUGUUGUAUAAAGAGCAUCCUAGAUUCUAUAUCACCUUUAGGCAGAGAGACGCUCAAGGUGGUUUGGCUAAGGGACUAUGUGACCCCUAUAUGCAGUUGGCUGGCCUGAGGGAACAAGGGUGAAAAUCCUCAUCAUUACUAUUGCACGACAUGGAUAUUAGAUAACUGCCCUGAGAAGCAACCUUUGUGGUAUUUGUGUACACAGGCGGAAGAGAUGACCCCCAUGCACCAUUGCGAUAGUGUGUGAAGGUCUAUAUGACUUUAGCUUGUCCCUUAGGGGGGAUCUCUAAUCCAUACACUACAAUCAUGCUCUCUUAAUCUAUUGGAUGUCUUUGAUAGACCAAUCAUGAACCCCUGCGAGGGGUUGUGGGCCACAAAAAUUAUUGGGUCAGUUUGAGACAAUGAAUGUGGGACACAAUUGCUACAAUAGAUGGAGUGCCUCAGUGUAUUCACAUUAUCUUUAACCCAUUGGAUUCCAUUCCCAUCAAAUGUUACUUAAAUAUGUGUUAUUUGAAUUUUAGAAUAUUAAAAUAAACUUUUAAUAUGCCCUUUAUAUUUCACUUUAUCAAAUGGAAAUUUUUCAGAUAGCUAAAAUUUGAUUUUUUCAGUUUUAUAAAUACAGAAGCAAAUUAAAAGUAGGGAAAAUAUCUCCUUAUCCCCUAUAUUUGACUUCUAUAUCUCAUGAGACCUAAGGAUUGAAAGUAUUACUUGUAAGCAAAAGGUCUUUAUCUUUUCUAUCUUACAACCCUUUGGAUCCCUUUGACCAUGAAUUUUUGACCCAAAGAAACACUAAAAUGACACCCUUUCCAAAUUUUUUCUUUUCCGUUAACAUUAAUCUCUUGAAGCACCCUCUCUUUCUCAAAUCCCGUCUCUCUCUUUCAAAACUCUAUCUCUCUCUCUCUAAAACCCAAAGUUGCAGAGAAGUUCCCAACUCUACAUCGUGUCUCUCUCUCUCUAAAAAUUAUCUAGCCCCUUUUGCAUCCCAAUAAACUCUCUAAAAAUACCCAGGGAUCUGAAGCUCUAUUUUUUCCACUCAGCCGCUCUUUGUUUUCAGCCACCAAAGCUCUCUCUUGCAUACCUUGGUGGCUGGAAAUGAAGAGCGGUUGAGCGAGAAAAUCAAUGGCUAUUUUUAGAGAGUUUGUGGUAUAUUAGGGUGCAAAAGGGGCUAGAUAAUUUUUAAAGAGAGAAAGAGAGGAGAGAUGAUACAGAGAGACGAACUUCUAUGCAACUUUGGGUAUUAGAGAGAGAGAUGGAGUUUUAAGAGAGAGAGAUGGUGAUUUGAAAGAGAGAGGGUGCUUCAAGAGAUUAACGUUAAUGGAAAAGAAAAAACUUGGAGAGGGUGUCAUUUUAGUGUUUUUUUGGGUCAAAAGUUCAUGGUCAAAGGGAUUCAGGGGGUUGUAAGAUAGAAAAGAUGGAGACCUUUUGCUUACAAAUAAUGUUUUCAAUCGUUGGGUCUCAUGAGAUAUAGAAGUCAAAAAUAGGAGAUAAGGAGAUAUUUUCUCUUAAAAAUUCUAAACGAAUUUUAAAAACCCUUUUAUGCUUUUUAAAAUUCAUUAGAGAGUAUGCGGGAGCCAUUUAAUAUACAGCCCCACCACAUAAGAGCCCAAGUUGGUGGGGUUUGGGGCCCACUUGUGUCCCAGAUGGGUGGCAGGCCCCACCUCCCCAUUUGUUUUCCCUCAAUCUAUGUAGUCUUACUUGUUGUGCAAGUCUUUUAAGAUAAUAGACUAAAUAUUAUGGAAAUAUUAGAUUGAGAAAUAGAUUGGGCUGAUUCACCGGUUCAAAAAAGGAUUUCUCUCAAUAGAUUGGAUGAUCUUUAUAAAUUUUGGAAAGUUAUUCUCAUUGAUUGAAAUGAUGUGACACAUUGACCAAUUUUCCAUAAAUGAGAUAUUUGAUGGGAAUGGGUUAAGGAAACUGAGGGAUAUGAUUCUAGCACAUUCCUUUUAAUUAUGAUGAUUGAUUUAAAGAAUGCAUGGCUAAGAUCUCGCCUCACAGGUCACCUUUGAUCUAUAGUCGAGAUUUAAUCUCCAUAAUGAUGGUAAACCCUAGACCUCAAACCCUAAUUUUGUAAUAUAAAUACCCCUUAUGGGGAUGCCUUCUAUACUCUUGGUAUUGACCUCUCUCUCUCAACCCUAGGGGUGCACUUCUCUCUCCAAAUUCUCUCUCUCUCUACAGUUAGACUUAAGGGGUGCCGUGGCUUAAGUGUGGCAAAAAAGGGUGGCACAUUCCAAGGUGGUAAGGAGCUUGUUUUGGUAAGUGCCCCGUCUCUUACAAGAAAAAUAUUAGUCAUGCCACCAUAAUAAAAGUGGGGUUUUCCUAGGCUUCCUAAAUUAUCAAACAAAGUUGAUGACCUAGAUUCUGUGCGCCAUUGGUGGAUGAGAUCUGGUGUGGGGUGUAAUAAGUUCUUGGGGGUAACCCUUGACAAGGUAAUAUGUUUUUUUAUGGUUCCAAGUUUCCUGAUUCAAUCUUCUACAU